AACAGUAUCAGGGGGUGGACCGUCUGGUGGAAGUGGGUCUGUCCAACGAUGACGGAGAUGAACUUCCUGAUGACAAAAGUGUGUCAUCGGAUGAUGGACUGUCCGGCGACGAUGAAAAUUUGUUGAUGUCUGACAGUGAAGGUUCCCGUACCCAAGAGUGGUGAUCCAUCACUUCGAAAAACACGUGAAAGCACUUCUGGAGGAGCACAUGAAAUUACAUUCACCAAUUUCCCCAAGGCAAUGGGGCUUUAUGUCGUCACGUUCAACUGUGUCAGCUCUCAUUCAAGUGAUUGAUGACUGGAGCAGGGCUGUCGACGGGGGAUAUGAGGCAGCCAUCGUUCCAAUCCUCUAAAUGUGAAGUUCAUUGCCUGGCAACUGAGGGACAUUUUUCUUAUUACAAGAAUUUUAGAAGGCCAGCGAAUAUGUAGGUCCUUUGUUUCUUAAAGAUGAAGAUGUCAUCAAAGUAAGGUCCCUGUUGGGACACAGUGCCUGCCCCAACCACCCCCAAUCUGCUUUUCUGAUCUAUUAUAAUCGAUAAUUAGAAGGAGAAAUGGAUGCAUUAUAAAAUGUGUAUAUAUGGCCAGAGAAAAGACAACAAGGAUGAAUGGAGUAUAUCUAUAGUAAGUGCGCAGUAUCUGGCUGGACCAGCUAGUCACACUAUGAUUAUAAUAUAGUAUCUAUACUGAGAGGAGUGUCACUCCUGUAUAGAGAUAAGAGAUGCCAAGAGGCAGCAAUAUGCUACCGUGAGGUAACGGCCCCAAUCCAGGAAUUAAUGGAGCAGCUGUGCGCUCAAGUAAGUACAGUGUACAGAGAGAAAAGAUUCCAAGAUGCGACAAUGCUAGACGUAGCUAUGAAAAAUAAUGGUUCGUUGUGGAUGCUCAUUUGAGAUUAUAGUAUGGCAAGUGGCAUACCACGGUCUUAUGACGACAGUAUAGUAAUUAUAGUAUGACAUUUUGAAAGGAAAAAUUUAUUUUACAACACAAGAAUUUUAGAUGGCCAGCGCCAAAGCUCAAAAGCUCAAAAGGAAAACAGGAGUACCUGUUUUACAUGUGCUCACUCGCCACUUCUGCGGUAGGUGAUAUUCUCACACUCGACAUGUUUAUUAAAUUGACAGUGAUGGUCUGUAUGACACUGUGUAUUAUACACCUGUGCAGGUCCUUCGUUCUCUGAGAACUAUUAUGAAUACAAGGCAGUGGUUUUGAAUGGUCGUCGCCUGGUCCCUCCACCCCAUCAAGUGUGAGCAUUAGCAGUUUUCACACUGUUUUUCCCAAUGUAGGCAUUGUCAUUUUUGUGUCGAAGCCCUCAUACGAUAAAACAGUUUAACAGAUGUGAGAGAUAGGAAUAACUGGACUCUUCUUCACUCAUACUCUGAUGAAUGUAACUAAUCAUAAGUUUAAAAUAAAAAUGAAGAGACAAAUGUUCUUGAAGCAGUCAAACGCAAACAAAAAAAUCAUGCGUGUAUAUACGUUUGUUGUGGGUUUAUGGUUUACACACACAUUGAGUGUCAGUGAACACAGAUAUGCACAGUUGUGCACAUUAAAACACACUAAAAAUUACCAGUGAAAAGUAGUGCACUAUUUAACACACCAUUUUAACAAUGUAUAUAGUGCAACAAGGCAUACACUGCAAAAAAGGCUUCUUUAAAACAAAAUAAUAAUUAUUAUCAUUAUUUUUAUAAAAAUGGAUGAAUGGAGUAUAUCUGGAUGCGAUACUCAUUCAUAAAGAUGAAGAUGUCAUCAAAGUAAGGACACGGUGCCUGCCCCAACCACCCCCUGAUCUAGAAGGAGAAAUGGAUGUGUCCAGACAAUAUGUGCUAACUGUGAGAAAAGCUCUGUCAAGUGUCCCGAAUGUCCCGAAUGUACAUGUGAGCACGUGAAUCCCUUCAAUAAAAAAAAACAGUACAAGUAUUAUGCAGAAAAGGGCAACUGAAGAAAAGAGAGGUCAGUAAGGACAACAGGAACAUACAAGAAGAAGAAGCAGCCUCUAUACAUCAACAGCUACCGGACGGGCUCCAGAAGGCAGUGGAGCUAUCCAAGACAAAAGGAGCCUCCACUUGGCUCACGGUUCUCCCACUAUCGGAACAUGGAUUCACACUACACAAGUCGGCCUUCCAAGAUGCCCUAGCACUACACUGUAAAAACGGAGGUGGGAAAGUCCCACCAAUGUUCAGUCACACCAUGGGUGUAACGUCACACUUGCAUCAAAUGGUGGGAUACUCCCACUCCAUGUCUGGUGUAAACACUUCUAGAGUGUUUCUGAAGAUGUUUCCACCAGUACCAAGGAUGACAGUGGAUUGGCUUAUAGCAGCUCAGGUGUUGAUGUCGAAGACAAUACAGUUAGUAUAUCACUCCAUAUGGCGUAUGUUUUUUACAGAGUGACAGUGGUAAC
Molecule: long non-coding RNA, 2388 nt
Organism: Halichondria panicea
Lineage: Eukaryota; Metazoa; Porifera; Demospongiae; Suberitida; Halichondriidae
Exons: 4
Source: RefSeq, a predicted model, not a curated record